UUAACAAUUAGGGGAAACGUUAUGGCCAUAGGGCUCCACAGCGCAACCCCGAUCGGAUGGCGAGUAGACCUUUGGUUCUCGAACUUCGAAUCUAACAAACCCCGGCGCGGACAGCGCCAAGGAAUCAAAACAAAAAGAACUUGACCCUCCAACCCGUUGAUCGGAAUGGGAGGGCCUUGUUCGUUCAAAAAUAUCAUAACGACUCUCGGCAACGGAUAUCUCGGCUCUUGCAUCGAUGAAGAACGUAGCAAAAUGCGAUACUUGGUGUGAAUUGCAGAAUCCCGUGAAUCAUCGAGUCUUUGAACGCAAGUUGCGCCCGAAGCCUUUAGGCCGAGGGCACGUCUGCCUGGGCGUCAUGCAUUGCGAUGCCCACAUACAAGUAUGGGGGCGAAUCCUGGCCUCCCGUUAGCUCCAACUCGCGGAUGGCUUAAAAUCGAGCCUUGAGAAGGGAAAACGUUGCGACAAGUGGUGGUUGAAGGGCUAUUGCCUUAGAACUUAGCACGUCUAGACCUUUACCCUCUGUUGCUCUAAAAUGACCUAAUCGGAGUGCGUCAUCGUGCUGCCAGCAUCGUGACCCCAGGUCAGGCGGGACUACCCGCUGAG
RNAcentral lists this ribosomal RNA (603 nucleotides) under Sedum oreades. RNAcentral describes it as "eukaryotic LSU rRNA". The stretch from base 201 to 356 matches the Rfam family "5.8S ribosomal RNA". The record is from RNAcentral. Lineage: Eukaryota; Viridiplantae; Streptophyta; Magnoliopsida; Saxifragales; Crassulaceae.